RNAcentral lists this ribosomal RNA (99 nucleotides) under Escherichia coli. Lineage: Bacteria; Pseudomonadati; Pseudomonadota; Gammaproteobacteria; Enterobacterales; Enterobacteriaceae. The record is from RNAcentral.
GGUGGUCCCACCUGACCCCAUGCCGAACUCAGAAGUGAAACGCCGUAGCGCCGAUGGUAGUGUGGGGUUUCCCCAUGCGAGAGUAGGGAACUGCCAGGU